Molecule: ribosomal RNA, 433 nt
Filed under: uncultured bacterium
Lineage: Bacteria
Description: partial 16S ribosomal RNA
Rfam family: Bacterial small subunit ribosomal RNA
Source: RNAcentral
AACGAACGCUGGCGGCAUGCCUAACACAUGCAAGUCGAACGAGACCUUCGGGUCUAGUGGCGCACGGGUGCGUAACGCGUGGGAACCUGCCCUUAGGUUCGGAAUAACUCCCCGAAAGGGGUGCUAAUACCGGAUAAUGUCUUCGGACCAAAGAUUUAUCGCCUUUGGAUGGGCCCGCGUUGGAUUAGCUAGUUGGUAGGGUAAAAGCCUACCAAGGCGACGAUCCAUAGCUGGUCUGAGAGGAUGAUCCGCCACACUGGGACUGAGACACGGCCCAGACUACUACGGGAGGCAGCAGUGGGGAAUAUUGGAAAAUGGGCGAUAGCCUGAUCCAGCAAUGCCGCGUAAGUGAUGAAGGCCUUAGGGUUGUAAAGCUCUUUUACCCGGGAUGAUAAUGACGGUACCGGGAGAAUAAGCUCCGGCUAACUCCGUG